This 547-nucleotide ribosomal RNA is filed under the name Bacillus sp. CR15. RNAcentral describes it as "bacterial SSU rRNA". It matches the Rfam family "Bacterial small subunit ribosomal RNA", at positions 380 to 919 of the family's 1533-position model. The record is from RNAcentral. Lineage: Bacteria; Bacillati; Bacillota; Bacilli; Caryophanales; Bacillaceae.
AGUCUGACGGAGCAACGCCGCGUGAGUGACGAAGGCCUUCGGGUCGUAAAGCUCUGUUGUUAGGGAAGAACAAGUACCGUUCGAAUAGGGCGGUACCUUGACGGUACCUAACCAGAAAGCCACGGCUAACUACGUGCCAGCAGCCGCGGUAAUACGUAGGUGGCAAGCGUUGUCCGGAAUUAUUGGGCGUAAAGCGCGCGCAGGCGGUCUCUUAAGUCUGAUGUGAAAGCCCACGGCUCAACCGUGGAGGGCCAUUGGAAACUGGGGGACUUGAGUGCAGAAGAGGAGAGUGGAAUUCCACGUGUAGCGGUGAAAUGCGUAGAUAUGUGGAGGAACACCAGUGGCGAAGGCGGCUCUCUGGUCUGUAACUGACGCUGAGGCGCGAAAGCGUGGGGAGCAAACAGGAUUAGAUACCCUGGUAGUCCACGCCGUAAACGAUGAGUGCUAGGUGUUGGGGGGUUCCACCCUCAGUGCUGAAGUUAACACAUUAAGCACUCCGCCUGGGGAGUACGACCGCAAGGUUGAAACUCAAAGGAAUUGACGGGGG